RNAcentral lists this transfer RNA (55 nucleotides) under Heterosigma akashiwo. Lineage: Eukaryota; Raphidophyceae; Chattonellales; Chattonellaceae. The record is from RNAcentral.
UGGUGCAGUCGUUAGAGCGCUCGCUUCGUAUGCACGAAGUCCGGGUUCGAAUCCC